CCUACGGGAGGCAGCAGUGGGGAAUAUUGCACAAUGGGGGAAACCCUGAUGCAGCGACGCCGCGUGAGUGAAGAAGUAUUUCGGUAUGUAAAGCUCUAUCAGCAGGGAAGAAGAAAGACGGUACCUGACUAAGAAGCCCCGGCUAACUACGUGCCAGCAGCCGCGGUAAUACGUAGGGGGCAAGCGUUAUCCGGAUUUACUGGGUGUAAAGGGAGCGUAGACGGCUGUGCAAGUCUGAAGUGAAAGCCCAGGGCUCAACCCUGGGACUGCUUUGGAAACUGUGGAGCUAGAGUGCUGGAGAGGUAAGUGGAAUUCCUAGUGUAGCGGUGAAAUGCGUAGAUAUUAGGAGGAACACCAGUGGCGAAGGCGACUUACUGGACAGUAACUGACGUUGAGGCUCGAAAGCGUGGGGAGCAAACAGGAUUAGAUACCCUAGUAGUUC
RNAcentral lists this ribosomal RNA (442 nucleotides) under uncultured bacterium. RNAcentral describes it as "partial 16S ribosomal RNA". It matches the Rfam family "Bacterial small subunit ribosomal RNA", at positions 338 to 796 of the family's 1533-position model. The record is from RNAcentral.